GACGAACGCUGGCGGCGUGCCUAAUACAUGCAAGUUGAGCGCUGAAGGUUGGUACUUGUACCAACUGGAUGAGCAGCGAACGGGUGAGUAACGCGUGGGGAAUCUGCCUUUGAGUGGGGGACAACAUUUGGAAACGAAUGCUAAUACCGCAUAAAAACUUUAAACACAAGUUUUAAGUUUGAAAGAUGCAAUUGCAUCACUCAAAGAUGAUCCCGCGUUGUAUUAGCUAAUUGGUGAGGUAAAGGCUCACCAAGGCGAUGAUACAUAGCCGACCUGAGAGGGUGAUCGGCCACAUUGGGACUGAGACACGGCCCAAACGCCUACGGGAGGCAGCAGGAGGGAAUCUUCGGCAAUGGAAGAAAGUCUGACCGAGCAACGCCGCGUGAGUGAAGAAGGUUUUCGGAUCGUAAAACUCUGUUGGUAGAGAAGAACGUUGGUGAGAGUGGAAAGCUCAUAAAGUGACGGUAACUACCCAGAAAGGGACGGCUAACUACGUG
This 497-nucleotide ribosomal RNA is filed under the name uncultured bacterium. Its description in RNAcentral is "partial 16S ribosomal RNA". It matches the Rfam family "Bacterial small subunit ribosomal RNA", at positions 28 to 507 of the family's 1533-position model. The record is from RNAcentral.